Molecule: ribosomal RNA, 717 nt
Filed under: Micromonospora sp. SSX1-2
Lineage: Bacteria; Bacillati; Actinomycetota; Actinomycetes; Micromonosporales; Micromonosporaceae
Description: bacterial SSU rRNA
Rfam family: Bacterial small subunit ribosomal RNA
Source: RNAcentral
UCGGGGUACUCGAGCGGCGAACGGGUGAGUAACACGUGAGCAACCUGCCCUAGGCUUUGGGAUAACCCUCGGAAACGGGGGCUAAUACCGGAUACAACCUUUGGUCGCAUGACUGGGGGUGGAAAGUUUUUCGGCCUGGGAUGGGCUCGCGGCCUAUCAGCUUGUUGGUGGGGUGAUGGCCUACCAAGGCGACGACGGGUAGCCGGCCUGAGAGGGCGACCGGCCACACUGGGACUGAGACACGGCCCAGACUCCUACGGGAGGCAGCAGUGGGGAAUAUUGCACAAUGGGCGGAAGCCUGAUGCAGCGACGCCGCGUGAGGGAUGACGGCCUUCGGGUUGUAAACCUCUUUCAGCAGGGACGAAGCGCAAGUGACGGUACCUGCAGAAGAAGCGCCGGCCAACUACGUGCCAGCAGCCGCGGUAAGACGUAGGGCGCGAGCGUUGUCCGGAUUUAUUGGGCGUAAAGAGCUCGUAGGCGGCUUGUCGCGUCGACCGUGAAAACUUGGGGCUCAACCCCAAGCCUGCGGUCGAUACGGGCAGGCUAGAGUUCGGUAGGGGAGACUGGAAUUCCUGGUGUAGCGGUGAAAUGCGCAGAUAUCAGGAGGAACACCGGUGGCGAAGGCGGGUCUCUGGGCCGAUACUGACGCUGAGGAGCGAAAGCGUGGGGAGCGAACAGGAUUAGAUACCCUGGUAGUCCACGCUGUAAACGUUGGGC